GAUGAACGCUGGCGGCGUGCCUAACACAUGCAAGUCGAACGGGAACCCUUGGAUUCGUCUGGGGGGGAGAGUGGCAAACGGGUGAGUAACACGUAGGUGACCUGCCCCAAAGAGGGGAAUAACCACUGGAAACGGUGGCUAAUACCCCAUGUGGUCUGUCGGUCGGACGGCAGAUUAAAGCUGCCCCAUUAGGGGUGGCGCUUUGGGAGGGGCCUGCGGCCCAUCAGGUAGUUGGUAGGGUAAUGGCCUACCAAGCCGAUGACGGGUAGGGGGCGUGAGAGCGUGAUCCCCCACACUGGCACUGAGACACGGGCCAGACUCCUACGGGAGGCAGCAGUGAGGAAUAUUGCCCAAUGGACGAAAGUCUGAGGCAGCAACGCCGCGUGGGUGAUGAAGGCCUUCGGGUUGUAAAACCCUUUUCUGGGGGACGAGAAAGGACGGUACCUCAGGAAUAAGUCACGGCUAACUACGUGCCAGCAGCCGCGGUAAUACGUAGGUGGCUAGCGUUAUCCGGAUUUACUGGGCGUAAAGCGCGUGCAGGCGGUUCCGUAAGUCGGACGUGAAAGCUCCUGGCUUAACUGGGAGAGGCCGUUCGAUACUGCGGGACUUGAGGUCGGAGAGGGACGUGGAAUUCCCGGUGUCGUGGUGGAAUGCGUAGAUAUCGGGAGGAACACCAGUGGCGAAGGCGGCGUCCUGGCCCGUACCUGACGCUGAGACGCGAAAGCGUGGGUAGCGAACGGGAUUAGAUACCCCGGUAGUCCACGCCGUAAACGGUGGAUACUAGGUGUUGGUGGCUAUCGUCAUCAGUGCCGUAGCUAACGCGUUAAGUAUCCCGCCUGGGGACUACGGCCGCAAGGCUAAAACUCAAAGGAAUUGACGG
Molecule: ribosomal RNA, 880 nt
Filed under: uncultured Chloroflexota bacterium
Lineage: Bacteria; Bacillati; Chloroflexota
Description: bacterial SSU rRNA
Rfam family: Bacterial small subunit ribosomal RNA
Source: RNAcentral